Molecule: ribosomal RNA, 813 nt
Filed under: uncultured fungus
Lineage: Eukaryota; Fungi
Description: SSU rRNA
Rfam family: Eukaryotic small subunit ribosomal RNA
Source: RNAcentral
GUGCCAGCCGCCGCGGUAAUUCCAUGUCUCCAAUAGCGUAUAUUAAAGUUGUUGUGGUUAAAAAGCUCGUAGUUGAACCUUGGGCCUGGCUGGCCGGUCCGCCUCACCGCGUGCACUGGUCCGGCCGGGCCUUUCCCUCUGUGGAACCCCAUACCCUUCACUGGGCGUGGCGGGGAAACAGGACAUUUACUUUGAAAAAAUUAGAGUGCUCCAGGCAGGCCUAUGCUCGAAUACAUUAGCAUGGAAUAAUAAAAUAGGACGCGCGGUUCUAUUUUGUUGGUUUAUAGGACCGCCGUAAUGAUUAAUAGGGACAGUCGGGGGCAUCAGUAUUCAACUGUCAGAGGUGAAAUUCUUGGAUCAGUUGAAGACUAACUACUGCGAAAGCAUUUGCCAAGGAUGUUUUCAUUAAUCAGGAACGAAAGUUAGGGGAUCGAAGACGAUCAGAUACCGUCGUAGUCUUAACCAUAAACUAUGCCGACUAGGGAUCGGGACGGUGUUAUUCAUGACCCGUUUCGGCACCUUACGAGAAAUCAAAGUGCUUGGGCUCCAGGGGGAGUAUGGUCGCAAGGCUGAAACUUAAAGAAAUUGACGGAAGGGCACCACCAGGGUUGGAGCCUGCGGCUUAAUUUGACUCAACACGGGGAAACUCACCAGGUCCAGACACAAUAAGGAUUGACAGAUUGAGAGCUCUUUCUUGAUUUUGUGGGUGGUGGUGCAUGGCCGUUCUUAGGUUGGUGGGGUGACUUGUCUGCUUAAUUGCGAUAACGAACGAGACCUUUAACCUUGCUAAAUUAGCCCCGCAAUGCUUUCUGC